UUGCAAAAAAAAAAAUCUAAAAUUAGAGAAGCCUUCGUUUUCUCUCUCCCCGAUUCUUCUCCCUUUUUCUCUUCAGCUUCGUUUUCUCUCUCCUCUGUCGUCGUCGUCGCUUCUUCACCACCGGAGAUCGAUCUCCCCCACCGCCGUUGAUCUCUACCCUCUUCCAGAUCAGACUACUUCAGUCAUGAUUUGCAGGUCAUCGUUGCUACACUCUUCUGUUUGUUCUGGGCUUCUUGUUUUGUUGAUGAUGGCUGUUGUAGCCUAGAUGCUGCUACUGCAGUUCCUGGAGUGAAGCUGAUAUCUUCUUCUCUGGUAGCAGCUGCUGUUGCGAGAAGUUUGUUGAUGGUUGCACUUUGCUAAGUUGGAUGACCUGCUCUUCUUUGUUGUUGUUGUGUUAGAUGAAGUAUUCAAACAUACUACUUCACCCGGUAUUCAACAAUCCGAGGGAGCAUCCUUUUACCAUUGAGUAGAUAAAUGAAGUUCGGGAAAAGUUGGCAAAGUUCAUUACCAUUUAUUGUCUUUGAUAUUUUCUUGUAGUGAAUCUUAGAUUAUGGAUGCUAGUUUUUCAUAGGAUUGUAAUGUAAUCAAUUUUUAUAUUUAUAAUUACAUACUAUUCAAUUUAAUUAUCUA
Molecule: long non-coding RNA, 630 nt
Organism: Spinacia oleracea (spinach)
Lineage: Eukaryota; Viridiplantae; Streptophyta; Magnoliopsida; Caryophyllales; Amaranthaceae
Exons: 3
Source: RefSeq, a predicted model, not a curated record